RNAcentral lists this ribosomal RNA (781 nucleotides) under Priestia megaterium. Its description in RNAcentral is "bacterial SSU rRNA". It matches the Rfam family "Bacterial small subunit ribosomal RNA", at positions 35 to 797 of the family's 1533-position model. Lineage: Bacteria; Bacillati; Bacillota; Bacilli; Caryophanales; Bacillaceae. The record is from RNAcentral.
GGUAGUGCGGGUGCUAAUACAUGCAAGUCGAGCGAACUGAUUAGAAGCUUGCUUCUAUGACGUUAGCGGCGGACGGGUGAGUAACACGUGGGCAACCUGCCUGUAAGACUGGGAUAACUUCGGGAAACCGAAGCUAAUACCGGAUAGGAUCUUCUCCUUCAUGGGAGAUGAUUGAAAGAUGGUUUCGGCUAUCACUUACAGAUGGGCCCGCGGUGCAUUAGCUAGUUGGUGAGGUAACGGCUCACCAAGGCAACGAUGCAUAGCCGACCUGAGAGGGUGAUCGGCCACACUGGGACUGAGACACGGCCCAGACUCCUACGGGAGGCAGCAGUAGGGAAUCUUCCGCAAUGGACGAAAGUCUGACGGAGCAACGCCGCGUGAGUGAUGAAGGCUUUCGGGUCGUAAAACUCUGUUGUUAGGGAAGAACAAGUACGAGAGUAACUGCUCGUACCUUGACGGUACCUAACCAGAAAGCCACGGCUAACUACGUGCCAGCAGCCGCGGUAAUACGUAGGUGGCAAGCGUUAUCCGGAAUUAUUGGGCGUAAAGCGCGCGCAGGCGGUUUCUUAAGUCUGAUGUGAAAGCCCACGGCUCAACCGUGGAGGGUCAUUGGAAACUGGGGAACUUGAGUGCAGAAGAGAAAAGCGGAAUUCCACGUGUAGCGGUGAAAUGCGUAGAGAUGUGGAGGAACACCAGUGGCGAAGGCGGCUUUUUGGUCUGUAACUGACGCUGAGGCGCGAAAGCGUGGGGAGCAAACAGGAUUAGAUACCUGGGUAGUCCA